Molecule: ribosomal RNA, 549 nt
Filed under: uncultured bacterium
Lineage: Bacteria
Description: bacterial SSU rRNA
Rfam family: Bacterial small subunit ribosomal RNA
Source: RNAcentral
AGGGAAUCUUCCGCAAUGGGCGAAAGCCUGACGGAGCAACGCCGCGUGGGUGAAGAAGGUCUUCGGAUCGUAAAACUCUAUUAUUAGGGAAGAACAAAUGUGUAAGUAACUAUGCACGUCUUGACGGUACCUAAUCAGAAAGCCACGGCUAACUACGUGCCAGCAGCCGCGGUAAUACGUAGGUGGCAAGCGUUAUCCGGAAUUAUUGGGCGUAAAGCGCGCGUAGGCGGUUUUUUAAGUCUGAUGUGAAAGCCCACGGCUCAACCGUGGAGGGUCAUUGGAAACUGGAAAACUUGAGUGCAGAAGAGGAAAGUGGAAUUCCAUGUGUAGCGGUGAAAUGCGCAGAGAUAUGGAGGAACACCAGUGGCGAAGGCGACUUUCUGGUCUGUAACUGACGCUGAUGUGCGAAAGCGUGGGGAUCAAACAGGAUUAGAUACCCUGGUAGUCCACGCCGUAAACGAUGAGUGCUAAGUGUUAGGGGGUUUCCGCCCCUUAGUGCUGCAGCUAACGCAUUAAGCACUCCGCCUGGGGAGUACGACCGCAAGGUUG